This 253-nucleotide ribosomal RNA is filed under the name uncultured bacterium. Its description in RNAcentral is "partial 16S ribosomal RNA". It matches the Rfam family "Bacterial small subunit ribosomal RNA", at positions 524 to 776 of the family's 1533-position model. The record is from RNAcentral.
UACGGGGGGGGCAAGCGUUGUUCGGAAUUACUGGGCGUAAAGGGUUUGUAGGUGGCCCGCUAAGUCACACGUGAAAUCCCUCAGCUUAACCGGGGAACUGCAUCUGAUACUGGAUGGCUUGAGUUCGGGAGAGGGAUGCGGAAUUCCAGGUGUAGCGGUGAAAUGCGUAGAUAUCUGGAGGAACACCGGUGGCGAAGGCGGCGUUCUGGACUGCAACUGACACUGAAAAACGAAAGCCAGGGGAGCAAACGGG